This 413-nucleotide long non-coding RNA is filed under the name Linum usitatissimum (flax). RNAcentral's name for it is "long non-coding RNA (LUSI_LNC002662)". Lineage: Eukaryota; Viridiplantae; Streptophyta; Magnoliopsida; Malpighiales; Linaceae. The record is from RNAcentral.
GGCUAAGAAGUUCGUAAAAAGUCUGGAAUCGCCGUCAUCUUGAGGUUCGAACGACGAAGAUCAUGCGGAGUUCUGGAGAAGCCGAAGUUUACGCAGGAAGAAUAAUCAUCCAUUUACAUCGAAUUAGAAGAUUCAGACCCAGAAAGGCUAUCGAAUAAGGAUUCUGAUUCUGUUGCCAUUGAACUUUGAUCAGGGAUUGUAGUUGUUAACUGUAGGGUUUGAUCAAUGAUGAAACAUCUCUUAAGGUUUGGACCGAGUCCCAAAAAGUUUCAGCUUUCACUGAAUAUAUUCAAUUGUUGAAGCCAUCACAGUAUCACUACGGCAAUUGAACAACAUACCAUUAGUCUCCCGUUCCAUGUUCGUCCGAUGCAAUCACAGUAUAAUUACCGUUCUUAACUAAACAAUUGAACAAC